GAACGCUGAAGAGAGGAGCUUGCUCUUCUUGGAUGAGUUGCGAACGGGUGAGUAACGCGUAGGUAACCUGCCUUGUAGCGGGGGAUAACUAUUGGAAACGAUAGCUAAUACCGCAUAACAAUGGAUGACAUCAUGUCAUUUAUUUGAAAGGGGCAAUUGCUCCACUACAAGAUGGACCUGCGUUGUAUUAGCUAGUAGGUGAGGUAACGGCUCACCUAGGCGACGAUACAUAGCCGACCUGAGAGGGUGAUCGGCCACACUGGGACUGAGACACGGCCCAGACUCCUACGGGAGGCAGCAGUAGGGAAUCUUCGGCAAUGGGGGCAACCCUGACCGAGCAACGCCGCGUGAGUGAAGAAGGUUUUCGGAUCGUAAAGCUCUGUUGUAAGUCAAGAACGAGUGUGAGAGUGGAAAGUUCACACUGUGACGGUAGCUUACCAGAAAGGGACGGCUAACUACGUGCCAGCAGCCGCGGUAAUACGUAGGUCCCGAGCGUUGUCCGGAUUUAUUGGGCGUAAAGCGAGCGCAGGCGGUUUGAUAAGUCUGAAGUUAAAGGCUGUGGCUCAACCAUAGUUCGCUUUGGAAACUGUCAAACUUGAGUGCAGAAGGGGAGAGUGGAAUUCCAUGUGUAGCGGUGAAAUGCGUAGAUAUAUGGAGGAACACCGGUGGCGAAAGCGGCUCUCUGGUCUGUAACUGACGCUGAGGCUCGAAAGCGUGGGGAGCGAACAGGAUUAGAUACCCUGGUAGUCCACGCCGUAAACGAUGAGUGCUAGGUGUUGGAUCCUUUCCGGGAUUCAGUGCCGCAGCUAACGCAUUAAGCACUCCGCCUGGGGAGUACGACCGCAAGGUUGAAACUCAAAGGAAUUGACGGGGGCCCGCACAAGCGGUGGAGCAUGUGGUUUAAUUCGAAGCAACGCGAAGAACCUUACCAGGUCUUGACAUCCCGAUGCUAUUUCUAGAGAUAGAAAGUUACUUCGGUACAUCGGUGACAGGUGGUGCAUGGUUGUCGUCAGCUCGUGUCGUGAGAUGUUGGGUUAAGUCCCGCAACGAGCGCAACCCCUAUUGUUAGUUGCCAUCAUUCAGUUGGGCACUCUAGCGAGACUGCCGGUAAUAAACCGGAGGAAGGUGGGGAUGACGUCAAAUCAUCAUGCCCCUUAUGACCUGGGCUACACACGUGCUACAAUGGUUGGUACAACGAGUUGCGAGUCGGUGACGGCAAGCUAAUCUCUUAAAGCCAAUCUCAGUUCGGAUUGUAGGCUGCAACUCGCCUACAUGAAGUCGGAAUCGCUAGUAAUCGCGGAUCAGCACGCCGCGGUGAAUACGUUCCCGGGCCUUGUACACACCGCCCGUCACACCACGAGAGUUUGUAACACCCGAAGUCGGUGAGGUAACCUUUUGGAGCCAGCCGCCUAAGGUGGGAU
RNAcentral lists this ribosomal RNA (1421 nucleotides) under Streptococcus salivarius. RNAcentral's name for it is "16S ribosomal RNA". It matches the Rfam family "Bacterial small subunit ribosomal RNA". The record is from RNAcentral. Lineage: Bacteria; Bacillati; Bacillota; Bacilli; Lactobacillales; Streptococcaceae.